UCUAAUAUGGAUCAAAAAUUAAAAUCGGGUCAAGGGUAUCGGCACCCCUCUCUUUCUAUCUAACUCACCAUUUUUCCUCAGCCGCAGGUGCUCUGCUCUCCACCAUCGCUUCCACCUGCAACCCUUUCCCACCACCGUCUUCCCCCUGCCUUCCGUUUCUCUGGCCACUCCCUCCAUCCUUCGCCUCUCUCGCCACUCAGAAAUGCUAUUUGUUGUCUUUCUGAUGAGGAUCAACUGUCAGCUGUAAACAAUUGAGUCAGGGUGGCAUGUGAUGAUAGCGUAGAGGAAGAUUUUUAAUGGACCUGACAGCUAAAAGGCAUUUGAUUCAUUAUUAAGAUUCAAAAGGAGAUACCUACUGAUCAAGUUCUAAGGCAGUUGAAGUACAUAGAGAAGAUAUGGCAUCUGAAGCAACAUCUCAGUCAAAAGGGAAAGGCAAAGGGUAUUUCACUUGGACUCCUGAAAUGGAUCGUGUAAUGGGCACCUAUUUUAUUGACCAAAUGAACCAAGGAAACAAAUUGGAUGGUAAAUGUGCAUGGAAGACAGUAGCCUGCACCGCAGUAAUUUUAUGUAAGCAAAUGUUUCAUGAAAACAAUUCUAAUUCAUAAUGAAUUCUUUUCUCAUGCAAACAAAGGAUUUGGAAUUCCAAA
Molecule: long non-coding RNA, 647 nt
Organism: Coffea arabica (coffee)
Lineage: Eukaryota; Viridiplantae; Streptophyta; Magnoliopsida; Gentianales; Rubiaceae
Source: RefSeq, a predicted model, not a curated record